AAUUCUGCCAUUUUUUAUCAGUGACUUUAUCACAAGAAGUCAUAUAUCUGCUAUAGACAUCUUUUCCUUGUUUAUAAAAUGAGAAGGUUGGGCUGCUAAAGUACCUUCUAGCUCUAGAUCUGUGAUAAAGUAAUUCACUCCAAGAAGGUUCACAUGGAAAACAAAACAAAACAAAACAAAACACUGAACUUGGAAUCAGAAUGCCCAAGUUCUAUAUUCAACUAUGAUGUUAGUGAUUAGAGGAAGUACCUUCAUCUUUUCUAGAGCUGAGCAUCCUCAUCUAUAAAAAGAGAAUGAAAAUAUCUGCUCAGCUUACUAGUAUAGAGUUGUUAUGUAGACUGAAUGAGAUGAUUUCUGGAUCUGUGAUUUUGUAGGUGUGUAGAUAUCUCUUCCUCCCUCAAUGCUAAAGAGCAGCUACUCUUCAACUGACAGUUUUAGAAAGUUUCUUCAGGGCUGGAAGAGGUUAAGUCAAUCAAAAGGCAAAGAAACAAAGUGAAAGAGAGAAACAGAGAUAGAGAUAAACUGAGACUGAGACAGAGAGCUGUACAUGUUUAAGAGCAGAAUGGAAGGAGACAUUGAAGAGAAAAUCAUUGAAGAUGCUAAAGGAGAAAUUUUGAGACACAGACAGAAACAGAGAGCAUAAAUGGACACGGACAAGCCAGCUUUGGAGAAGAGGAACCCAACUUCUCUCAGACUAUAGAGAAGGAAGAAAAGUUAGGUUAAAAGAAAUUGGUAUUUGGAGGAGGAGAGUGCUUACUGUUCAUCAGUUCUUGUGGGAUGGCAUCAUUGUCUUUUUCUAGUAGGAAUAAAGUCAUUUGCCAAGAGUGA
Molecule: long non-coding RNA, 828 nt
Filed under: Monodelphis domestica (gray short-tailed opossum)
Lineage: Eukaryota; Metazoa; Chordata; Mammalia; Didelphimorphia; Didelphidae
Description: lncRNA (ENSMODG00000041123.1)
Source: RNAcentral